Brassica napus (rape) is the source of this 973-nucleotide long non-coding RNA. RefSeq lists it as uncharacterized. The record is from RefSeq and is a predicted model, not a curated record. The transcript has 2 exons. NCBI's taxonomy places the organism in Eukaryota, Viridiplantae, Streptophyta, Magnoliopsida, Brassicales, Brassicaceae.
UACUAUAUUAAAAGGUAUAUAUGAGCUCCAUUGAGCCUGUCCACGUCAGACAAUAAAAUCAGCCAAUAGGAAAACAGUUCUCCGCCACGUCAGAUGCUCACUUCUGUCAUUUGGGCUUCCCGUUUCACCGGCCCGUUAAUGUUCGACGAAGACAGGUCCGAAGGACUCAACAGCUUCCGAGAAAUCAACCGGUACUACUACAAACCAGACUCCAGCCGAUGUAGACGCGAUACUGAUCUAGUGCGGAAGACUAAGCCAGAGCAACUCCGCCGCGGCGGCGAAAACCAAGAGGUAUUCUGUAUCCAAGAGGAGCUUCGACUUCGACAAGAACGGCGACACAGACAAAGCCGAUGCGGAAGACGGAGGAGAGGAAGAAGAAGCCGAGCGGCGGAUUCAUCAGCAGCAGCGCGGCGGCGGAGAGUCCCGUCGGACUCUGAGCAAUGUCGGGAGCAGAAGAGACGGCUCCUAGCAGGGAGAGGGAGGACUCGAAGAGCUACCGAUCGGGGAGUAGGGAGAGAGGAAGCGGUAGCAGACGAGGAAGCAGAUCUCCAGAGAGAAGAUCGGAGACGACGAACCCUAAUAACGGCAUUGGCAGUUCUGUAAAUUCGAGUAACAACAACAAUAUACCUGCCAAGUUCGUUUCGGUUCCUGCAACGGAUAAAGAGAAGAGAAGCAGCAACAGCAACGCAGAUGCGUCUAUUAAAAGGGUUGUUGUCAAGAGAAACGUGGCGUCUCCAAGGUCUCAGUCGCCUGCAAGAGCGGCGUCUCCUAGAGCUCAGUCUCCGGCCAGAGUUAUCAACCACUCCUAAAGAAAUCUGCAAAAGUGUCGCCUACACGUGUUCGAACCUGAAGGUGUGGUCCAUAAAAGAGAUUUAGAUAAGUUUUGCAAAGCUCUCAUCUUUUUUAAUUGAGCAGUGAAUCUGGCAUUGUUGUAAUCUUCUUACUCUGAUUCUAUUGAAAACCAUUUCUUAUA